CGAAAAACUAUAUAUACUAGCGACCGAAGUCUCCUCGGUCUUUGAGUCGACUGGUUCACACCGGAAGAGCAGGUCCUCGUUUUCUUCAGUUUAAAAUGCUACAAAACCUCGGAGAUUCAAUCUUCACUAACGACAUGUUCUGUUUGGAUCACAAGGCAUUUGGUGGAGACCUGUAUGAGCCAGAUGGAGGCGGAGGAUGAUGUUGGUGGUUUGAUCUUCAGGAGAAUAUCCUACUGAUGGUGAUGCCUCUGUCACAGCAGUAUAAAAUGACCUGAGGAAAUGGGUCUGAGACGGCAGCUCUGACAAGACCGCGGCCGUCUGCGUCACCUCUGUUUAAACAUGUUUCAGAUUGGUGAGAUGAAACAGUGAGGAAGAGAUUGCAGCAGCUGUAACAGACACUGUUGAGCUGUCCUGGGAAGAAUUCAUGCUUUGAAAGUAAUAAGCAUGAUCCCUGAUGGAGAUUGGACCAGUGGAAAAUUUCUCUUCUCCCUGAUGACAAACUCGCCAGUAAAUGUUUGUCAAGAUUUUCAUCUGCCACUCAUACACGUGAUGCACAGCCAGUGUCAAACUAACACCAGUUUAUGAAGAAAUAAAAAUGUAUUUAAGUCAA
Long non-coding RNA from Scophthalmus maximus (turbot), 610 nucleotides. RefSeq lists it as uncharacterized. The record is from RefSeq and is a predicted model, not a curated record. The transcript has 4 exons. Lineage: Eukaryota; Metazoa; Chordata; Actinopteri; Pleuronectiformes; Scophthalmidae.